This 372-nucleotide ribosomal RNA is filed under the name uncultured organism. RNAcentral's name for it is "bacterial SSU rRNA". It matches the Rfam family "Bacterial small subunit ribosomal RNA", at positions 526 to 896 of the family's 1533-position model. The record is from RNAcentral.
CAGAGGGGGCUAGCGUUGUUCGGAAUUACUGGGCGUAAAGGGCGCGUAGGUGGCCUGUUAAGUCGAACGUGAAAUCCCCGGGCUCAACCCGGGAACUGCGUCCGAGACUGGCAGGCUCGAAUCCGGGAGAGGGAUGUGGAAUUCCCGGUGUAGCGGUGAAAUGCGUAGAUAUCUGGAGGAACACCGGUGGCGAAGGCGGCAUCCUGGACCGGUAUUGACGCUGAGGCGCGAAAGCCAGGGGAGCAAACGGGAUUAGAUACCCCGGUAGUCCUGGCCCUAAACGAUGAAUGCUUGGUGUGGCGGGUAUCGAUCCCUGCCGUGCCGAAGCUAACGCAUUAAGCAUUCCGCCUGGGGAGUACGGUCGCAAGGCUG